AAGUCGUAACAAGGUCUCCGUAGGUGAGUUAUUAAUACCAAUCGAUUUCUUGUCUUCAAGUGGAACGAAACGCUAACGAAUUCUAGGUGAACCUGCGGAGGGAUCAUUACCGAGUGAGGGCCUCUGGCUCGACCUCCAACCCUUUGUAAUUGAAACCUCGUUGCCUCGGGGGUGACCCGGCCUUCGGACUGGGGCCCCGUCGGUCGGAUACACAACAUCUGCGUCUCUGCGUCUGAGUCUUAAAGUAAAUGAAUUAAAA
RNAcentral lists this unclassified non-coding RNA (259 nucleotides) under plant metagenome. RNAcentral describes it as "partial contains small subunit ribosomal RNA and internal transcribed spacer 1". The record is from RNAcentral.